UUACAGUAUUGGUAAGGUGGA
Caenorhabditis elegans is the source of this 21-nucleotide non-coding RNA. NCBI's taxonomy places the organism in Eukaryota, Metazoa, Nematoda, Chromadorea, Rhabditida, Rhabditidae. The record is from Ensembl.